Molecule: long non-coding RNA, 180 nt
Organism: Tachysurus vachellii
Lineage: Eukaryota; Metazoa; Chordata; Actinopteri; Siluriformes; Bagridae
Exons: 3
Source: RefSeq, a predicted model, not a curated record
AGGGGAGGCAAAGAAGAAAAACACAUCUGGCCAAAAAAGACAAAAGCUUCUUCUGAAGUACACUUGAAAUAUGAACCAUGCCAUCCACUUAGACUGGAAACUGUUGUCCUAAAUUCUGACCCAUCUUCCCCCUGAAGGAGGAGCUCAACAGCAACUCAAACUGCAGCUGCGAGACUCCAA